This 489-nucleotide ribosomal RNA is filed under the name uncultured bacterium. RNAcentral's name for it is "partial 16S ribosomal RNA". It matches the Rfam family "Bacterial small subunit ribosomal RNA", at positions 28 to 507 of the family's 1533-position model. The record is from RNAcentral.
GACGAACGCUGGCGGCGUGCUUAACACAUGCAAGUCGAACGGAAAGGCCCCCAUCUUGGUGGGGGUGCUCGAGUGGCGAACGGGUGAGUAACACGUGGGUGAUCUGCCCUGUACUUCGGGAUAAGCUUGGGAAACUGGGUCUAAUACCGGAUAGGACCAUGGUUUAGUGUCUCAUGGUGGAAAGAUUAUUGUUUUGGUGCAGGAUGAGCUCGCGGCCUAUCAGCUUGUUGGUGGGGUAAUGGCCUACCAAGGCGUCGACGGGUGGCCGGCCUGAGAGGGUGGACGGCCACAUUGGGACUGAGAUACGGCCCAGACUCCUACGGGAGGCAGCAGUGGGGAAGAUUGCACAAUGGGCGCAAGCCUGAUGCAGCGACGCCGCGUGGGGGAUGACGGCCUUCGGGUUGUAAACUCCUUUCGUUAGGGACGAAGCCGCACUUUUUUUGGGUGUGGUGACGGUACCUUUGUGAAGAAGCACCGGCUAACUACGUG